Molecule: ribosomal RNA, 1015 nt
Filed under: Listeria monocytogenes
Lineage: Bacteria; Bacillati; Bacillota; Bacilli; Caryophanales; Listeriaceae
Description: partial 23S ribosomal RNA
Rfam family: Bacterial large subunit ribosomal RNA
Source: RNAcentral
UUGGUUAAGUUAGAAAGGGCGCACGGUGGAUGCCUUGGCACUAGGAGCCGAAGAAGGACGGGACUAACACCGAUAUGCUUUGGGGAGCUGUACGUAAGCGUUGAUCCAGAGAUUUCCGAAUGGGGGAACCCACUAUCUUUAGUCGGAUAGUAUCCUUACGUGAAUACAUAGCGUAAGGAAGGCAGACCCAGGGAACUGAAACAUCUAAGUACCUGGAGGAAGAGAAAGAAAAAUCGAUUUCCUGAGUAGCGGCGAGCGAAACGGAAAGAGCCCAAACCAAGAAGCUUGCUUCUUGGGGUUGUAGGACACUCUAUACGGAGUUACAAAAGAAAGUUAUAAAUGAAGCGGUCUGGAAAGGCCCGCCAAAGACGGUAACAGCCCGGUAGUUGAAAUGGCUUUCCCUCCAGAGUGGAUCCUGAGUACGGCGGAACACGUGAAAUUCCGUCGGAAUCCGGGAGGACCAUCUCCCAAGGCUAAAUACUCCCUAGUGACCGAUAGUGAACCAGUACCGUGAGGGAAAGGUGAAAAGCACCCCGGAAGGGGAGUGAAACAGUUCCUGAAACCGUGUGCCUACAAGUAGUUAGAGCCCGUUAAUGGGUGAUAGCGUGCCUUUUGUAGAAUGAACCGGCGAGUUACGAUUUGUUGCAAGGUUAAGCGGAAAAAGCGGAGCCGUAGCGAAAGCGAGUCUGAAUAGGGCGCAUAAGUAACAGGUCGUAGACCCGAAACCAGGUGAUCUACCCAUGUCCAGGAUGAAGGUAAGGUAAUACUUACUGGAGGUCCGAACCCACGCACGUUGAAAAGUGCGGGGAUGAGGUGUGGGUAGCGGAGAAAUUCCAAUCGAACUUGGAGAUAGCUGGUUCUCUCCGAAAUAGCUUUAGGGCUAGCCUCGAGGUAAAGAGUCAUGGAGGUAGAGCACUGUUUGGACUAGGGGCCCUUCUCGGGUUACCGAAUUCAGAUAAACUCCGAAUGCCAUGUACUUAUACUCGGGAGUCAGACUGCGAGUGAUAAGAUCCGU